UCAGGAUGGUCUUCCCCUUCAUUCCUGCCUCACUUCAGGGUGAGGCAGGGAAAUGGCCAGACUCACCACCUUCCUUACAGAAGAUAAGCAGCACAGCACCGCCCAGCAGCUGGAGGCAGCUAAGGAGGGGAAGAUGGUCAGAAACUGAAGGAUAGCUGAGAAGUUGAGAGCAUAUCAGCAGAAGAACAGGCCUGGUGAUCUUGCAGCAAGA
Long non-coding RNA from Tupaia belangeri chinensis (Chinese tree shrew), 211 nucleotides. RefSeq lists it as uncharacterized. The transcript is spliced from 2 exons. The record is from RefSeq and is a predicted model, not a curated record. Lineage: Eukaryota; Metazoa; Chordata; Mammalia; Scandentia; Tupaiidae.